GGCAGCUUACUCGAGGGUCCGCAUGAUACUCGUAUAUUCCGGAGAUAUGGAGAUUUCACGGGAGACGCCGAUGCUGGAAAAUUACUAGUUCAGUUUUACGCCGCACCUGUUUCUGCAUGUUUGAUUGUGCACUACAGAUAACACAGUACUUUAGCUGACGGCAAAAUUAUGCUUUCUUUCAAGAUCCUUUUUCUGUAACUGUUUCUGGACGGCAGGAUUGUGCAACUUGGUACAUAUCGCAGUUCGCUUGCUGGGAUGCUUUAUACGCACAACAAAUUCUGAAGGGUGAUUAAGACCGAUUUUUAACUUAUCGCUUUGCAUUGACUGGACUUUAUCGUGAAAUAAAAAAAAGGCUUCCUGCGUUGAGUGGCGCGUGGCGCAGACUUUUCCAAAUGUCCGCGCUCAAAGGCCGCAAAACACUAGUUGUCGCUCAAGCAGUCGAACGGGUCAAACAGUCGCCGAAUAUUUCCAAACCGCUGACAAUUAUUGUAGUUCAAGCAAAAGUGAUCCACAGCAUAGUGCAUUCUACAAGCAUAAGAUCUAAGGUACCUCGAUGUACUGUGAACUGUGCACCUACUGAGUCGGUGACACUAACCAUGCACUGUGUGGAAGAUUCCCAUGAUAUUGACCACAAGAUACCAUGAAAGGAUCAUGCUGGCGAAAGGAAAGGAUAGGGGGAUGACGAAGCUGAAUAUGAGCUGGCUGCCGACAACCAGGCUGCCAAACCAGUGAAUUUAUAAUCAGUUAUACCGUUUCACCGGAAGCGUGCGAGCAUCCUGUAGUGUGUUGUCGUAGAAUCUGGGACUGGAAGAGCUGGCAACAGAAUUCUAAAAUAAAACGUAAAUGUACGCAGUAAAUAUAUUUGCUAGAAAAAAACAUUAAACUUUCAAGUCUGUUUAGAACUUACUGAAUUACAGCUGUGCAGAUACUGCAAGUGUAGAUCAUUAAUUGUGGGUUACAGUAAUAGCGCGGAAUGUUCAACCGGUGCAAUAUGUGCAUGUACUCCGUAGUCUGUAUCCGUGUAUCCGUU
Paramacrobiotus metropolitanus is the source of this 1030-nucleotide long non-coding RNA. RefSeq lists it as uncharacterized. NCBI's taxonomy places the organism in Eukaryota, Metazoa, Tardigrada, Eutardigrada, Parachela, Macrobiotidae. The transcript has 3 exons. The record is from RefSeq and is a predicted model, not a curated record.